AUAUCACUAAGCGGAGGAAAAGAAAUUAACUAAGAUUGCCCCAGUAACGGCGAGUGAAGCGGCAAAAGCCCAAAGUGGAAAUCUCCGUUCUUCGAACGGCGAAUUGUAAUCUAUAGGAGUUAAGCUCACCUGGUUGUGGCGCAUAAGUGUCUUAGAACGGACCGCCAAAGAGGGUGACAGCCCCGUAUUUGGUGCCGCGACCUAACGAGCUGGCUUCAAAGAGUCGGGUAGCUUUGAAUUGCUGCCCUAAGCUGGGAGAUAGACUUCUUCUAAGGCUAAAUAUUUAUGGGAGACCGAUAGCGCACAAGUA
RNAcentral lists this ribosomal RNA (310 nucleotides) under uncultured eukaryote. RNAcentral's name for it is "partial large subunit ribosomal RNA". It matches the Rfam family "Eukaryotic large subunit ribosomal RNA", at positions 40 to 350 of the family's 3401-position model. The record is from RNAcentral.